RNAcentral lists this unclassified non-coding RNA (2830 nucleotides) under Hevea brasiliensis (rubber tree). Lineage: Eukaryota; Viridiplantae; Streptophyta; Magnoliopsida; Malpighiales; Euphorbiaceae. The record is from RNAcentral.
AAAAGACUCUGAAGUUGGGGGUGGGUUGGGGGGAAGAGUAAAUGUGCAAGAAACUUGAUUUUCCUCAGAUUCCAUUGGAUAUCUGUGAUAGAAGAUGCACUUAAAAGGCAGGUUUUCAUUAGUGAUUGAUGUUACAUGUGGCAUUAGUGCUGUAUGUUAAGCAAGAGAUGUCAUGUGAUUGGCCCAAUUGACAGUCUGUGUUUGAAACUGGGAGCAUGAGAUUCCCCGUAAGUGGAUAAUCUCACACAUUUAUGUCUCUUUUUGGUUCAAUUUACGGAAAAGAAUUUCUAGCUUUGGGAGAAGUUUAUCUUCAAUUUAAUAAGAUAGCUGAUUUCAUUCACCUUUCCUGGAGUAUUUCUUUAUAAGAGAAACAGAGCAAGUUUGGGUCCUGGGUCCUAAAAUCUAAGGUUAGAUUCUUUGAUUCCUCCAGCCCUACAAAGAACAAAAAGAAUCUGCCAAAAACACUACACCCUACUCAGAAAAUUAAUAAAAUGAAGAGAGAGAAAUUAAAAAGAAAGGAAGACCCAUUUGGUUUUCCUUUCAGUCACCAUAAAGAAAUAUCUAUUAUAGCAUUUCCCAUCAAACAUAUUUAAUUUUCCUCAAAGCUUCUCAGAGUGUUAGGAAAGUUGCACCCAUUAUUCAUCAUGGUGGGGCUACCUAACUCAUGAAGGAAUCAAGCAGAGAGAGGGGGGGUAAACAGCAAGAUAAAAACGAACCAUACACUUUUCCUCUUUUCUCUCCUUUUGAGAGACCCAAAAUGAACUGUGUUGCUUUCUCUGUUUUUCCUGCAUCAUGGAUUCUUUCCCAUCCCCUUUCAAGUCAAAGAAGAAAGAAGGAAAAUUUAAUAAAGAAAAGUUAGAAUGAAAUGGUGGUGGGUGAAAGGAAGAGCCACAGCUCAUGGGCAUAUAUUCCCCUUCCAACAUAACCCUGGUCAUAUUUCCAGAUAUGGAGUGAGAACAUAGGACACCCAACAACUCUAAAAUUAUAAAGAGAAGGACACUGCUCCCCCUAAUUUUUAUGUUUCUCUCUUCUACUUGCCCUUCCAUCAACAAAUCCAACAAAUGGGUCUCCAAAAUUUGCAAAAUCAAAACAUGAACCUGGUUUUGUCCACUGAUCCAAAACCUAGGCUUAAAUGGACUUCAGAGCUACAUCAAAGGUUUGUUGAAGCUGUCAAGCAACUUGGAGGGGCAGACAGUUAAGUGUCUACAUAUGCAUUAAAAUUAUUUUUCCGCUCUAAUUGCAAAAUCUAAUCUUUUGCAUAAUUGUCUAUGGGCAGAGGCAACACCAAAGAGUCUGAUGCGGGUGAUGGGAAUUCCUGGACUUACUUUGUACCACCUCAAGAGCCAUUUGCAGAAGUAUAGGCUGGGUAAGAGUCAGCCAUCACAGCCACAGUCAUCUCAGCUUCAGUCUCAGUCACAGUCUCAGUCUCAGGCCAGCACUGAGAAUAAGAAAGAAGGUGAGUUAUGAACAAUGAGUUAGAUUAAGAAGCUGCAUGAAUUAUUGUUGUUUUUUCUCAUUUGUGUUGUUGUUUAUAGUUCUCUUUGAUGCAGAUUUUAAAGAGAUCCAGAGUAGUAAUCAUGAUCUAAGAGCAGGAAUCACUGAGGGAAAUCCAAAUCCAAUCAAUGAGUAAUAGUCAGAAAUAAUAUCUAUUUUCUUGUAGAUGAAUUUGGAUUGAUAUGAUCAGAUUUUUUUUUUAACCUUUAAUUUUUACUUAUUCAAAGUGCUGUGUUCAACAGAAGCUUUCAGAUUGCUCAGGUUCUCCAAAUGCAAAUGGAAGUGCAGAGGAAGCUUCAUGAACAGAUUGAGGUGCAGAGACGUUUACAAGUGAGAAUAGAAGCUCAAGGGAAGUACUUACAAUCAGUAUUAAAAAAGGCAAAGGAAACACUUUCUGGUUACGAUUCUUCUUCAAUGGGAAUAGAAAUUGCAAAAGCUGAACUGUCUCGAUUAGUCUCAAUGGUUAACAAUGAAUAUCUAAGCUCUUCAAUCUCAGAAUUGACAGAAAUAGGAGGUUCAAGCUUAAAAGACACUGAGAGGAAACAAAUGAGAGGCACAGUUUGUUCAAUGGAAAGCUCCUUGACAUCAUCUGAGAGCUCUGGGAGAAAAGAAGAUGAGGAACAAAAGAACAAGUUGGGUGACACCUACAAGUUCAAUCCUGAUUCCAUUGAGCUUCCUUUAAUGGAUAUUCACCCUCAAGAAAAGCCAUGGAAUAAUCACGUAAGUGAUCAAGCAAAGAAGAGAAGUUGCAGCACAAUUUCUGAUGGCAUCUGUGUAGAGCAGCCACUGGCAAAAAGAUCAAAAAGUGAUAACAAAUUGAGAAAUUUUGAUCUCAAUAGCCGUUGUCAGAAUGACUUUGAAUCAGAUUCAAAACCAAUAGACCUGAAUUGCAAGGGAAUUGAACAAGUGAAUGGGCAACUCUAGAGUUUUGGGAAGCAUUAUACUGGAAGGGUUUUAGUCAUUAUACUGGAAGGGUUUUAGUAAUAUAGUUUAUGCAGUAGCAAAGUUGAUAAGAGUUAAAUCUUUGUUUAUAAACUAUGUAUAUUGGUGGUAUAUGUAUGGACCCAUGAUGUAGGACAAGCUCUGAUACCAAAAUGAUGUAGAGCCAAUAGUCCCCUGCAACAUUUCAAAACAUGGUAUAAUAUAUUGUGGAUACAUCUCUAUCUAGCUUUUCUCCCUGUCUCCAGCAGCAUGUUAUGUUUGAAAAUUGAAAUGCUUACAGUGGUCAUAGGGAGUUCCAAAUGUUGCUGUAGAACCCUAAAAUCCUAUUUUGGGUAAAAAUAGUUUGGUUGUCGUCAAUUAAGGAAUAUUUUAUAGAUUAAAUUAUAUUGAUAUA